UGCACAGACACCCCCCGAGAGGAAAAUUUUAUUUCUUUCCUAUUGAAAUGUUACAACUCAGGCUUUUCAAGCAUUUUCCCCUGUGCCCUGCUCUUUGUGUUAGUAUCUACAGCUGGGGAGAAGACUCACUGCUGCUGUGGUGGUGAAAGUGAAUUGACUGGAAGCUUCUGCCAGGCCCAUCAGUUUAAUGUAGAAAGCUUCCUGUGGCAACAAAGAAGAGCGAGUCAAAGGGAAUUCAGUGCAGCAAGAACAAGGGCAGGGGGGAAAGUGUUUCUCCAGUGUGCUGGAGAGAACACAGAGUCCUCCUCAAAAGGAAAGGUGCAGACAGCUACCUCACCUGCUGUUGCAGAAGAACUAGGAAACCGGAGCAAAAUAUGUGCGAAAAAAUCCUUUAGAAAUCGGCAAGAUUUCAGUACAAAUUGGAUGUGAUGCACAAGAAAACCAACCAGAACAACACUCAAAUUCUAGUAAUGAGAUCUGAGAACAGUGGCAACUUGUAGGCUGUUCAGACUGGGGUCUAAAAUCCAACUGGGACCAUUGAAACAGACACUCCUUCAUCACCACAAGACUCUGAUAACUACCCUUCUCUUAAGCCCUCCUUGAAGUGAAGAGCCCAGGGCUGGCAAAUGCUUAAGGUCAGCCAUAAGAAGAACAAUAGUACAGCUGUUCUCUAGAAAACUGGCCAAUCAGCCUAAGUCUUUCUCUUUCUCUUUCUCUCUCUCUUGGAUCACUGUGCAUUUAUAAACUAUGUUUUCAUAACUCAGUUAAAUGGUAACAAAAACCAUGAAGUAUUAGUAUCCUAUAAAUUGUUUUAAAACUGUGAUGAAUAGCUAUGAUAUCUAGGGGCUGUGUACAAUGUACAGACAUUUCACACCCCUUCUACAAGUUGUCUCACUCUAUGUGAAGUCCAUGCCCAUUAUAUAUGUGUAGUCCAGUGCCUGUUUCAAAGGAGGUGGGUUAUAGUGGGCUUCAGUGAAUUUGGAGAGUUCCACUGAUAUAACACCAUUUAUUGCACACCUUGAAAGCACACUAUCCAAAUACUUUACAAAAGUAAUUUAAUUACAUGCAGUCCAUCUGGGAACUACUAGGAACCUCCUUUCAUUGCUCAGCUGAGAUGAAUGCUGUCAUGGCUUUUCAAACCCCAGGAGUCACAAAGUGUCAAGACUGUGAUUAUACGGCAGGUUGAGCCCACUUAGAAAAUCCAAAUAGCACUAAAAGGACUAGGAUGGAAAGUGAGCCUCUCGUCCAUAGUGCUCUGUUCUUUGGCAAUUGCAAACUCCUCUAUGUAGCCAUACAACUAAAGGUUUCUGGCCAAGGCUGGUAUGAAUGUUCUGUGUCAGUAGAGGUGGGUGUGAGUGGGUAAGAGGGUAUGUGGAUUUAUAUGGGGAAGUUGAGUGAGGGGGCAAGUGGGAAAGGUAGUUUCCUUUGC
Long non-coding RNA from Chrysemys picta bellii (western painted turtle), 1429 nucleotides. NCBI's taxonomy places the organism in Eukaryota, Metazoa, Chordata, Testudines, Emydidae. The record is from Ensembl.